RNAcentral lists this ribosomal RNA (391 nucleotides) under uncultured bacterium. Its description in RNAcentral is "bacterial SSU rRNA". It matches the Rfam family "Bacterial small subunit ribosomal RNA", at positions 28 to 399 of the family's 1533-position model. The record is from RNAcentral.
GAUGAACGCUGGCGGCGUGCUUAACACAUGCAAGUCGAACGAAGCACUUACGACAGAACUCUUCGGAGGGAAGAUGUAUUUGACUGAGUGGCGGACGGGUGAGUAACGCGUGGGUAACCUACCUCAUACAGGGGGAUAACAGUUGGAAACGACUGCUAAUACCGCAUAAGCGCACAGCACCGCAUGAUGCCGUGUGAAAAACUCCGGUGGUAUGAGAUGGACCCGCGUCUGAUUAGCUGGUUGGUGAGGUAACGGCUCACCAAGGCAACGAUCAGUAGCCGGCUUGAGAGGGUNACCGGCACAUUGGGACUGAGACACGGUUCCAAAACUCCUACGGGAGGCAGCAGUGAGGAAUAUUGGUCAAUGACGGGAGUCUGAACCAGCCAAGUAG